AGCAGCCGCGGUAAUUCCAGCUCCAAUAGCGUAUAUUAAGGUUGUUGCAGUUAAAAAGCUCGUAGUUGAAUUUCGGGGUUAGUAGAUUGGUCGUGCCAUCGGUAUGCACUGGUCUUACUGAUUCCUCCUUCCUGAUGAACCGUAAUGCCAUUAAUUUGGUGUUGCGGGGAAACUGGACUGUUACUUUGAAAAAAUUAGAGUGUUUAAAGCAAGCUAACGCUUGAAUACAUUAGCAUGGAAUAAUGAAAUAGGACGUUCGAUCCUAUUUUGUUGGUUUCUAGGAUUGACGUAAUGAUUAAUAGGGAUAGUUGGGGGCAUUAGUAUUCAAUUGUCAGAGGUGAAAUUCUUGGAUUUAUUGAAGACUAACUACUGCGAAAGCAUUUGCCAAGGAUGUUUUCAUUAAUCAAGAACGAAAGUUAGGGGAUCGAAGACGAUCAGAUACCGUCGUAGUCUUAACCAUAAACUAUGCCGACUAGGGAUCGGAUGAUGUUAAUUUUAUAAUGACUCAUUCGGCGCCUUA
This 520-nucleotide ribosomal RNA is filed under the name uncultured Glomus. RNAcentral's name for it is "SSU rRNA". It matches the Rfam family "Eukaryotic small subunit ribosomal RNA", at positions 569 to 1090 of the family's 1831-position model. The record is from RNAcentral. Lineage: Eukaryota; Fungi; Glomeromycota; Glomeromycetes; Glomerales; Glomeraceae.